Molecule: long non-coding RNA, 5952 nt
Filed under: Homo sapiens (human)
Lineage: Eukaryota; Metazoa; Chordata; Mammalia; Primates; Hominidae
Description: non-protein coding LINC00926:2
Source: RNAcentral
CCGGGCGUGGGCAGCGCUGGAGGACAGGCUCUCCCAGUGUGCUGCGGGGGAGGGCAGCCCCUGCAGUGUGCGUGUUGAGUGCUGGGAAACCCCCAAGUAACACUUCCCCCCUCAUUUAACACACUUCCUAAAACCUCUCCUCCCCAAAAGCCACUUUGCAAAAGCAGCGAUUACCACCAACCACGAGAAACACAGGAGCCUGCCUUCCACUGUUUACCACUGGGCAGGAAGUCGUUUAUGGACCAGUCUCUUGCCCAGGCUAAACUCAGAAGUGGACACUGAGGGCCGGUUGUGGGUGCCACCAGGCAAGCUAGGGCAUCGGAGUUCAGCAGAGCUGGGUGGGAAUUCUGCUUCUCCCUCCACUACCUGGGUAACCCUGGGCAAGUCACUUAGCCUCUCCGAGCAUAAACUGGUUUGCUUGUAAUAUGCAAAUAAUAAGGGGUGGGGGAAAUUUUUUUUUUUUUUUUUGAGACAGAGUCUCGCUCUGUCACCCAGGCUGGAGUGCAGUGGCGUGAUCUCGGCUCAUUGCAACCUCCGCCUCCUGGGUUCAAGCAAUUCUCCUGCCUCAGCCUCCUGAGUAGCUGGGAUUACAGGCGCCCGCCACCACUCCCAGCUAAUUUUUGUAUUUUUAGUAGGGACGAGGUUUCACCAUGUUGGUCAGGCUGGUCUCAAACUCCUGACCUCGUGAUCUGCCCUCCUUGGCCUUCCAAAGUGCUGGGAUUACAGGCGUGAUGGAGAUGAUACUCCCUAAAUCACAAGGGUGUGGUGUGAAGAUGAAAUGGCUGCACGUGACAGAGGAGUUGGAGAACAGGAAGCAAGUGGAUUACUUGGAUGAACUGUGAUGGGCCCAAGAAGAACUAAGCCAAUCACUCCAGGGGGCGUUUUCCCAGGAUCCAGGCAGAGAGCUGAUUCCAGCAUCCACGUUGUAUCCCCCUCCCGCUGUGGCCGGGGUCUCCAAGAGCCGGGCACCCACUGCAGAGCUUCCAAGCCCAGGCCCAUUUGAACACAGGAGGACUUUUGAGGUUCAUUUAACCCCAAAAUCAGUGAUUCUACAUCUCAAGCUCAUAUUUUGAAGUGUUUACGGACCAGGGAUUUGCCAAUUAUUCUGGAUGGGCACAGGGAAGGGGCCCUCAGAUCCUGCAGAGGGAGCAUCUGAAAGACAAUGAGACCCUGUACACAACCAAGCUGAGCCUCCUGUAAGCACAUCCUCUGGGUGUCACUAUGCGAAAAGACUCUUUGUCUGUUUACAUUGCACAACGAAUUGUCCCUCUGAUUGUCCUAGCGUUGGUGCAUGCAUGGAUCCAGGAAGAGCAGGUAUUUGGACCCAACGAGACAGGUUCAUCUUGGCAGUUUGUCUCCUGUGGUUGCUUUGUGCCUGCCCCGUAUCUAUCCACCCAACUUCUGGCAGCAAUCCCUCCAGGACCCACCUCUGUCUUCAUGGUUUGUGUGUUCUGAUCCUGCUCCUUGGCCCCAGAAUACACCCUCCACAUCUAAGCUAUGCAGUGCCUCAUCCCCACAGCUGCAGCGAUUGGUUUAGGAAUGGGAAAAUAAUCCAAUCAAAGUAAGAUUGUCUAAUAUCUGAUCCCGCUUACCCCGGAGCCAGAAGUCCCACCUUUCCAGGCUCCUCCAUGUUCCUUUCUGGAGCAAUGAGGAGGAAGGUUCAUUCCCUUCUCAGGGAACUUGCUGCGGUGUCCCAGUCCUGACUGUCCCCUCUCUACCCCUGCCUGUGGCUCUCCCGUCUCCUGGCAUUCUAACCUGCCACUGAAUUCUUCCCACGCCAAACGCAGGUUAGGAACCUAAGCUCGGAUGAAAUGCUGGCUUAGACCUCAUUGCUACUGAGAAGCAGAAACCACACUUUUUAGUUGGUAGAGGUGGAUGUGGAUUGGGGCCAUAAAGUUUCCUCAAUCAUUGAAUAAGGAUUUCAUUAUUUGGACUAACUAAAUACAUUAGAUUAUUUAUACUAACUAAAUAAAUUAGAUUUAUUUUUCGAAGUUUAAAAUCAUUUUCAAUAGUGACGAAAAAGGCUGUAGAUGAGAUGGGAGAAUCUUUCGACGCCAAAUUCUUCCCAUCUCCUGCCUAGUAUGUAUCACUACACCUUGCCCAGAGAGACUGUAGGGGUGCUCAGCAAAAACCAUGGCUGGUUGAUUCCCUGGAAAAAGGGGUGCUGUCCCAGGGAGCUCUGUGCCCUUCCUGCCAACACUGGGGUCUAGAGGAGGCAAGUUCCCCUCUGAAGGUGAGUAUGAUUCACUCAUUAAAACUAAGAAAUUUACAUUGGUAUGUUACUGUUAACUAACCUACAGACUUUUUUUAGAUUUCACCGUUCUUUACACUCUCGUCCUUUCCAAUUUCCGGGAUCCAAUGCAGGAUACCAGGUUGCAUUUUUGGAUGUGUCCAGUCUGUGAUCAUUUCUCAAUCUUUCCUCAUUUUCUCAUGACUUUUGACAUUUAUUUAUUUAUUUAUUGUGUGAGACUGAGUCUCACUCUGUUGCCUAGGCUGGAGUGCAGUGGCCCCAUCCUGGCUCACUACAAUCUCCACCUCCCGGGUUCAAAUGAUUCUCCUGCCUCAGCCUCCCAAGCAGCUGGGAUUACAGGCGCACACCACCACGCCUGGCUAAUUUGUAUUUUUAGUAGAGAUGGGGUUUCACCAUGUUAGCCAGGCUGGUCUCAAACUCCUGACUUCAGGUGAUCUGCCUGCCUCGGCCUCCCAAAGUGCUAGGAUUACAGGCGCAGGCCACCACGCCCAGCCUGACUUCUGACAUUAGAGUACAGGGAGGGAUUCUGUAGAAUGUCCCUCAAUUUGGGUGUGUCUGGUGUUUUGCCAUGAGACUGGGGUUAUGCUUCUGGGUGCCACACAGAGGUGAAAUGUCCUUCUCAUCACAUUAUUCGAGAGGUACAUGGUACCAAUGGGACUUAUCGCUGCUGAUGUUAACCUUGAUCUCUUGGUUCAGGUGGUGCCUGCCAGCUGUCUCCACUGUGGAGUUACUAUUUUUCCUUUUCCCCAUUUUAUUCAUCAGAAGCCAGUCACUAAGCGAGGUCAAACUCCAGGACAGGGGAAUUAAGUGCCACCUUCUGGAGAGGGAGCAUUCACAUUUAUUACUUGGGAUCCUUCUGUAAGGAAGAGCUGUUUCUCCUCUAAAAAACUCUUUAAUCCUUUUAAGCCUCAAUUUCUUAAUUGUGAAAUGGGGCUAAUACCUGUAUCCAACCAAGGGAGUAGUUAGAAGGUAACAUGAUAGGUGGAAAGCACUUAACAUAGGCAAAAUGUUAUUAUCAGGAAUGAUCGAGAGACCCAUCCAACUAUCUGAAGGAGUCACUUAACUCUACUGUACUGCAGCGCUGUAAAGUCUGCAUCUUUCACUGGGGGUAAAGGCCCCCAGUCCCUGAGACGGGCCAGUUUGGAGACAGGCUGGUUUUUUCUCUGUUCUCCUGAGAGCCCUUCAGAUGAGAAGGGAGGUCUGGAGACAGAAUGCCAAAAGCCCAUUAAAGGCACGGCCUUGCAUUUCAGAGAGGGAGCAGGUCUAGAGAAGAACCAGAGGAGCUCAGCUGAGAUAUGGUGUAUGGAUUGGAUUUUGGUAGAAGAUGGGAAGAACCAAACACCUGAGAAACCACUUUGAAGAUCGGGGUCAGAGUAAGGCCUAACACAUAGUUGGCUCCCAGUAAUUAUUGGUUGAUUGAACAGCUCAAAGAGCAACUCGACCAAGAACACUGGACUGGGAGUCCAGUUACUUGGAUCUUGCAUUCCUGAUUUAUUUUUAUUUUAUAUGUAUUUUUUCUAUUUUUUUGAGACGAAGUCUCACUCACUCUGUCGCCCAGGCUGGACUACAAUGGCACGAUCUCGGCUCACUGCAAACUCUGCCUCCCAGGUUCAAGCGAUUCUCCUGCCUCAGCCUCUCGAGUAGCUAGGAUUACAGGCAUGCACCACCACGCUGGCUAAUUUUUGUAUUUUUAGUAGAGACGGGGUUUUGCCAUGUUGGCCAUGCUGGUGUCCACCUCCUGACCUCAGUUGAUCUUCCUGCCUCAGCCUUCCAAAAUGUUGGGAUUACAGGCGUGAGCCACCGUGCCUGGCCGUGAUUUAUUUUUUUUGUGUAUGUUUGUUUUUGUCAACUUGCUGUGUGACCUUAAGCAAGUUACUUAACUUCUCUGGGCUUCACUUUCCAUGGAUGAACAUUGUAAAGAGGCUGGAGAGAGAUGAGGACUAGGUACAGGCUUUAGAGGAGAGCCACCGCCCCGGACUUCUCCCUCUGUCACCCCGCUUUCCAUGACCCUCCUUGCCUGACUUUGUGACUCCUUGCCUCGCUAUCAAAACAAGUGCUGCAAUCUCAGUGCUUUCCAAGAGCCCUGCAUUGUUAGAAACUUCCCAGCACGCAGCAAAGGCUGCUGCAAUACUCGCUCUGCCUGCCUUUGCCCUGCGCUUCCUACUUACCCUCCUUUUGUUUCUCCCAAACAUCUGUCCCUGACUAUGCUCAUCUCAUGUUUGUCCUCAGCUGCUGAAAGGGCCACGUUUGUUUUCAUUACAAAUAAGACCACCGAGUGGGCUCCUGGCGUGGGGGCGGGACCAGCCGCGCGCAGUCUUCAGAGGCAGCCCCCCAGGCUGUCUCUGGAGGGUGUGUCUCUGCUUCCCUUUCCCCGUGUUUAUUUUCAGACGAAGCCAAGUGGCCCGGGGGGACCCUCCGGACUCCCAGCCUUCAGAGAGGAGGGCAGCUCGGGCUUUCGCCGCAGUGCUUCCUGCCCGUCACGUGUGUGCUCCUAGCCGGGGUCGGGGGAGCUGGUAUCUUGGCCCUUCUGGGAGGACGCGCACAGCCCGAGGAGGCAGAGCCCCAGACGGGAAUGGGCUUUUCAGAGGUGGGGUGCGGGCGAGGGGACGAUGCAUUAUUUUUAAUAUUUGAUUUAUUUUUCCAACUGGACUUCUUCCCGGGGCUCUUUCUGGGCCCAGCUGCCUUUGUGAUCCCGCGCCCCGGUCCUCGGCCUCUCACCUCCAGCGCCGGGGCGCCCCCUGCUGUCGGAAGCGGCUGUGACCGGGCAGAGGUGCUAUCUGGGACUCUGGGUUCUCAGCCCGGGGACAGCGAACCGAGGGGCAGAUGAUCCAUCAGAAAAGAGCCGGCACUGCCCAGCCCCGCGCCCCUGCCCCUGCCUUUUUCCGGGAGCGCGCCGCGCCGCACCCGCUACGGCCGCUUGACCCCAUCUUUGAGCCCGGCCCCAAGCUCUGGGACCGUCGUGCCCCUCAUCAAGGAAGAGCCAAGGACCCCAAGGAGAAGGUCAGGAGCGGCGGUGUGGAUGUCCCUUGGCUGCAGGCCCCGCCGCGCACUCCCUUCAGUCCUUCCCUUCUCUAGGGACCAGGUAGCAUCAGUGCCUGGAUCUCGGCCUUGUGUGCCCUGCUCCCUGCCCCACCUACUAAGAACCAAGUCUGGUUCACCGGCUCCCAAGAGCUGGAACCCAUUCUCAGCUAGCUGGGGGCCCAGGCCACCCCUUCCCUCCAGACCUGUGUGCCUUCUGCCCUGGCUCCAGGGCCCCCCACACCGUGACCAGGGCGGGAUCCCUAUGGGGCUGGCCAGGCGGCACCGUGCCAGGCCCACAGUGCCCUGGGCGUCCAUGGAAGUCGUUCUGUGUCUUUAAAAUCAGAAGGAAGACAUUAACCUUUAGGCUGAAGAAAAUGUUUUAGUACACAGCAAUAACUUAUUUGUCUUUAUCCAACAGCCAUAAAAUAUAACUUUAAAUAUUCUAUUGAUAGAGAAAGGAGUUCAUGAAGGCAGAAAUGCCUGGGGCCCACGAACAUCCCAGUGUGGCCCUGGACGGGACAUCAUGCUGGGCAACACAGCUAAAAUGCGGGUGAAGACCAGAUUUCUUGCACAUGGCGGUGACGGGAUGCUCCCUAGAGAGCUUCAAGUGGAUUCUUUGCUUUUUAUUUUCUCUCUUAAUAAAAAUGUAUGAUGUUUACAUUGUCAGAGAACAAACAGAA